This 855-nucleotide ribosomal RNA is filed under the name uncultured Actinomycetes bacterium. RNAcentral describes it as "bacterial SSU rRNA". It matches the Rfam family "Bacterial small subunit ribosomal RNA", at positions 70 to 902 of the family's 1533-position model. The record is from RNAcentral. Lineage: Bacteria; Bacillati; Actinomycetota; Actinomycetes.
AAAGUCCCCUUCGGGGGAUAAGUAAAGUGGCGCACGGGUGAGUAACACGUAGGUAAUCUACCUUCGGGUGGGGAAUAACCCAGGGAAACUUGGGCUAACACCGCAUAAUGCAGCGGCACCACAUGGUGACAGUUGUUAAAGCGGGGGAUUUUAGGACCUCGCGCCUGAAGAGGAGCCUGCGGCGGAUUAGCUAGUUGGUGAGGUAACGGCUCACCAAGGUAACGAUCCGUAGCCGGCCUGAGAGGGCGGUCGGCCACACUGACACUGACAUACGGGUCAGACUCCUACGGGAGGCAGCAGUCGGGAAUUUUGGGCAAUGGGCGAAAGCCUGACCCAGCAACGCCGCGUGAAGGAUGAAAUCCCUCGGGAUGUAAACUUCGCAAGAAUAGGAAGAAUUAGUAGGGGUUAAUACCCCCUAUGAUGACGGUACUAUUUGUAAGCUCCGGCUAACUCCGUGCCAGCAGCCGCGGUAAUACGGGGGGAGCAAGCGUUGUUCGGAUUUACUGGGCGUAAAGGGCGCGUAGGCGGUCAGCACAAGUCAGUUGUGAAAUCUCCGGGCUUAACUCGGAAAGGUCAACUGAUACAGUGCGACUAGAGUGCGGAAGGGGCAACUGGAAUUCUCGGUGUAGCGGUGAAAUGCGUAGAUAUCGAGAGGAACACCUGCGGCGAAGGCGGGUUGCUGGGCCGACACUGACGCUGAUGCGCGAAAGCCAGGGGAGCGAACGGGAUUAGAUACCCCGGUAGUCCUGGCCUUAAACGAUGGAUGCUUGGUGUCUGGGGUUUUAUAGUCCCCGGGUGCCGCANCUAACGCGUUAAGCAUCCCGCCUGGGGAGUACGGUCGCAAGACUGAAACUC